CUGCCCGAGUCCCCGCUGCUUACACACACCCCCAGCCAGCAGCCGCGACCUCCCUUCUCCCCCCUCCCGCGUCACUGGUGGAUGAAAUGCCGCGGCCAUCAGCUGUAUGUGGUGGCGCAAUGAAAGGGCUCACUGGCCCUGUCCUCUCUGCUGCGCUGCAUAUGCAAAAUGUCAGGACCUACCCCGCCACCACCGCGCCCUGAGAGAAGCAGGAGGCCCCCGUGAGAGCUCCCUGAAGGCGGCCUGUCCUGAGACUGGCAGGAUGAUUGAUCGUCCUGCUGAGUUGAGCUGCAGCAAGGCUGUGUCAAUGUCUGAGGAGACGUCCAGAGUCUCUUCUGCUUUGGAGAAAAUGAGGCCUUUCAGCACUGCCAAGAAAAAUGAUGUCCAGAAUGAAGCUACAGUAAAUGAUUCAUUUUCCUGCCAAAUACUGAAAACUCUUUUAUGAAUCAAAAGACGAAUCAGGAACAGUAGUGUUACUGUUAAUGCAUUGUGGUUUUCUGAAAUAACGAAGGCUCUGAGCACUGGCUGAUUUCCUGAUUUCAUGGGAGGGGCACUCUACCUCUCCAAUCACUAAUCAUCUCUAAUUAUAGUUUUCUGAAAAAGCUAUAUUCAGUUAGUCUAUAAACCCAAGAAUACACUGCGUUCAUCCCUCUUUUAAAAUGACCUUACAGUAUGUCUAUAUGGGUAUGGGUCGUUGGGUCGACAGUCAUUAGAUCGGCCACUGAAGGUCAACAUGGGCACUAGGUCGACAUGUACUAGGUCGACAGGUGAAACUGUCGACAUUAGUUUUUGGCAUUUUUUUUGGUGUAGUUUUCUUCGUAAAGUGACAGGGAACCCCAAUUAGUGCACCGUGUCCCCUCGCAUGGCGAAGGCAAGAUUACCAUUCCCAAUUGUAGUCCACGUGGAUCGUAAAGUAUGAAAAAGUCCCAAAAAUUUUUUUGAAGUGAAAAACUCAUGUUGACCUUUUGACCUGUCGACCUAGUACAUGUUGACCUAAUGCACUUGUCGACCUUCAGUGGUCGACCUAAGUUGUGUCGACCCAACGGCCGUAUCCCGUCUACACAGUGCAAAUAAAAGUCACUUAUAAUACACAAAUGUUUUACUUGUUUAUAGAUUAAACUAUACAUUGUUAAAGAAA
Long non-coding RNA from Pseudophryne corroboree (corroboree frog), 1138 nucleotides. RefSeq lists it as uncharacterized. The record is from RefSeq and is a predicted model, not a curated record. The transcript is spliced from 2 exons. NCBI's taxonomy places the organism in Eukaryota, Metazoa, Chordata, Amphibia, Anura, Myobatrachidae.